Molecule: long non-coding RNA, 493 nt
Filed under: Rattus norvegicus (Norway rat)
Lineage: Eukaryota; Metazoa; Chordata; Mammalia; Rodentia; Muridae
Description: long non-coding RNA NONRATT023913
Source: RNAcentral
ACCUUCUUGUGUAUAUGGUAUAUGUAUAUGGUAUACAUGUUCAUAUGCAUCCUGCCACACAGGCACACAAUGAACAAUGAACACACACACACACACACACACACACACACACACACACACACACACACACACACACGAAGAGACAGAGCUGUAGAUUCCAAAAUAAGAUCCUCCGAGUGUCUGGGUGGAGGAGGCAUCUCCUCCCUUGGAGACCACGCAGCCUAGCCUGCCCCUCCCCCAGCCAAUAUGAAGAGAAGGACAAAGCCUUCAAGGAACAGCUGACCCACCUGGCCUCCUUGCUGCCCACCCUGCAGGUAAGGUUGAGGGUGUGUAGGGCUGGACACAGCCCACAGCCCAGACACUGAGCAUGCCCCCGCCGGCGCCCCCUGCAGGUUCAUCUGGUCAUCUGCUCUUCCUUUCUCAGCUUGGCCAGCAAAGCCGAGUUUCUGGAUCUGGGUUAUGAGCUGAUGGAGAGACUUCAAGGCAUAGUCAC